AACGCACCUUGCGCCCCUUGGCAUUCCGAGGGGCACACCCGUUUGAGUGUCGUGAAAUUCUCAAAAACCUUUCUUUGGAAAGGAUUUUGGACUUGGAGGCCUUUUGCUGGUUUCACCUUGAAGCGAGCUCCUCCCAAAUGGAUUAGUGGGGUCUGCUUUGCUGAUCCUUGACGUGAUAAGAUGAUUUCUACGUCUUGGGUUUGGCACUGUCACUUGGGCACCCGCUUCUAACCGUCUUGUAGACAACGAUGGCGUUCCGGUCACCACCGUUUCAUCGGUGGGAGGCUUGACCCACCAAAAACCUUGACCUCAAAUCGGGUGAGACUACCCGCUGAACUUAA
Molecule: unclassified non-coding RNA, 341 nt
Filed under: uncultured Russulaceae
Lineage: Eukaryota; Fungi; Basidiomycota; Agaricomycetes; Russulales; Russulaceae
Description: sequence contains ITS2
Source: RNAcentral